AUCUAGUAGUUCUGGAUUUUCCUUGGAUAACUUGACAAGAUUGAGACGUUCUUCUCGGCUGUCUCGACCUCUGAAUAAAGCUUGCUCUGUUUUGUUUUCCCAGGAUGGGCCUACGAGCAAUGAGUGAAAGGAGAUCAUUUGUGACUCCACGUAGGGUUUCAAGAGUCGAGUGGGUUACAUCAUAUGUUGGAAGGACUAUAUCUCUUGAAUCCAAAGAGCCACACCAUGAAAUGACAGAGGUGUGAGCAAGAGCCCCAUAGAGCAUGAGAAAAAGCCCUUAUUUCAUAGACUUCUAAUCAAAACAGGUUCUGUCCUGUGUCAUAGUUUCAUGGCUGCUGGCAAAGGUGCA
Molecule: long non-coding RNA, 349 nt
Organism: Pezoporus flaviventris
Lineage: Eukaryota; Metazoa; Chordata; Aves; Psittaciformes; Psittacidae
Exons: 3
Source: RefSeq, a predicted model, not a curated record